RNAcentral lists this ribosomal RNA (484 nucleotides) under uncultured bacterium. RNAcentral's name for it is "bacterial SSU rRNA". It matches the Rfam family "Bacterial small subunit ribosomal RNA", at positions 67 to 547 of the family's 1533-position model. The record is from RNAcentral.
CGGAGAAUUUUAUUUCGGUAGAAUUCUUAGUGGCGAACGGGUGAGUAACGCGUAGGCACCUGCCCUUUAGACGGGGACAACAUUCCGAAAGGAGUGCUAAUACCGGAUGUGGCCGCAUGGCGAAAGAUGGCCUUCAAGAAGCUAUCGCUAAAGGAUGGGCCUGCGUCUGAUUAGCUAGUUGGUAGUGUAACGGACUACCAAGGCGAUGAUCAGUAGCCGGUCUGAGAGGAUGAACGGCCACAUUGGGACUGAGACACGGCCCAAACUCCUACGGGAGGCAGCAGUGGGGAAUCUUCCGCAAUGGACGAAAGUCUGAGGGACCACCGCCGCGUGAGUGAUGAAGGAUUUCGGUCUGUAAAGCUCUGUUGUUUAUGACGAAGUGCAGUGUGUGAACAAUGCAUUGCAAUGACGGUAGUAAACGAGGAAGCCACGGCUAACUACGUGCCAGCAGCCGCGGUAAUACGUAGGUGGCGAGCGUUGUCCG